GGCGCGCGGGCGCCCCCGGUUUCGGGAGCAGCUGGGGCGACGGGCGGUCCCGGGUGGGGCGGCCCGGGGCGGUGACCACCCUGGCGUCUUGGCAGGUGUGCGACGACCCGGAGGAGCUGCGGGGGAAGGUCCAGGAGCUGGCCAGCGCCGUCCGGAACGCCAAAUACUUGGUCGUCUACACAGGCGCGGGAAUCAGCACGGCAGCGUCUAUCCCAGACUACCGGGGCCCUAAUGGAGUGUGGACACUGCUUCAGAAAGGGAGAAGCGUUAGUGCUGCCGACCUGAGCGAGGCCGAGCCAACCCUCACCCACAUGAGCAUCACCCGUCUGCAUGAGCAGAAGCUGGUGCAGCAUGUGGUGUCUCAGAACUGUGACGGGCUCCACCUGAGGAGUGGGCUGCCACGCACGGCCAUCUCCGAGCUCCACGGGAACAUGUACAUUGAAGUGAGCAGUCCUGCAGGGACCCGGGGUCUCCAUGGGCAGGCGGGUCCCACUCACUGUGCCCUCUUGCCUCUAGGUCUGUACCUCCUGCGUUCCCAACAGGGAGUACGUGCGGGUGUUCGAUGUGACGGAGCGCACCGCCCUCCACAGACACCAGACAGGCCGGACCUGCCACAAGUGUGGGACCCAGCUGCGGGACACUAUUGUGCACUUUGGGGAGAGGGGGACGUUGGGGCAGCCUCUGAACUGGGAAGCGGCGACCGAGGCUGCCAGCAGAGCAGACACCAUCUUGUGUCUAGGGUCCAGCCUGAAGGUUCUAAAGAAGUACCCACGCCUCUGGUGCAUG
This 786-nucleotide small RNA is filed under the name Pan troglodytes (chimpanzee). RNAcentral describes it as "retained intron". The record is from RNAcentral. Lineage: Eukaryota; Metazoa; Chordata; Mammalia; Primates; Hominidae.